RNAcentral lists this ribosomal RNA (492 nucleotides) under uncultured bacterium. RNAcentral describes it as "bacterial SSU rRNA". It matches the Rfam family "Bacterial small subunit ribosomal RNA", at positions 29 to 517 of the family's 1533-position model. The record is from RNAcentral.
AUUGAACGCUGGCGGCAUGCCUUACACAUGCAAGUCGAACGGCAGCACGGGGCAACCUGGUGGCGAGUGGCGAACGGGUGAGUAAUGCAUCGGAACGUGCCAUUGAGUGGGGGAUAACGUAGCGAAAGUUACGCUAAUACCGCAUAUUCUGUGAGCAGGAAAGCAGGGGAUCGCAAGACCUUGCGCUCUGGGAGCGGCCGAUGUCGGAUUAGCUAGUUGGUGGGGUAAAGGCCUACCAAGGCGACGAUCCGUAGCGGGUCUGAGAGGAUGAUCCGCCACACUGGGACUGAGACACGGCCCAGACUCCUACGGGAGGCAGCAGUGGGGAAUAUUGGACAAUGGGCGAAAGCCUGAUCCAGCAAUGCCGCGUGAGUGAUGAAGGCCUUAGGGUUGUAAAGCUCUUUCGGCCGGGAAGAAAUCGUAUGGGCUAAUACCCUGUGCGGAUGACGGUACCGGCAUAAGAAGCACCGGCUAACUACGUGCCAGCAGCCG